GACGAACGCUGGCGGCGUGCUUAACACAUGCAAGUCGAACGGUGAAGCGAGUGCUUGCACUCGUGGAUCAGUGGCGAACGGGUGAGUAACACGUGAGUAACCUGCCCAUCACUCUGGGAUAAGCACUGGAAACGGCGUCUAAUACUGGAUACGACCAACCCUUGCAUGGGGUGUUGGUGGAAAGAUUUAUCGGUGAUGGAUGGACUCGCGGCCUAUCAGCUUGUUGGCGGGGUAAUGGCCCACCAAGGCGACGACGGGUAGCCGGCCUGAGAGGGUGACCGGCCACACUGGGACUGAGACACGGCCCAGACUCCUACGGGAGGCAGCAGUGGGGAAUAUUGCACAAUGGGCGAAAGCCUGAUGCAGCGACGCCGCGUGAGGGAUGACGGCCUUCGGGUUGUAAACCUCUUUCAGCAGGGAAGAAGCGAAAGUGACGGUACCUGCAGAAGAAGCACCGGCUAACUACGUG
This 469-nucleotide ribosomal RNA is filed under the name uncultured bacterium. Its description in RNAcentral is "partial 16S ribosomal RNA". It matches the Rfam family "Bacterial small subunit ribosomal RNA", at positions 28 to 507 of the family's 1533-position model. The record is from RNAcentral.